This 566-nucleotide ribosomal RNA is filed under the name Rhodotorula mucilaginosa. Its description in RNAcentral is "partial large subunit ribosomal RNA". It matches the Rfam family "Eukaryotic large subunit ribosomal RNA", at positions 41 to 621 of the family's 3401-position model. The record is from RNAcentral. Lineage: Eukaryota; Fungi; Basidiomycota; Microbotryomycetes; Sporidiobolales; Sporidiobolaceae.
UAUCAAUAAGCGGAGGAAAAGAAACUAACAAGGAUUCCCCUAGUAGCGGCGAGCGAAGCGGGAAGAGCUCAAAUUUAUAAUCUGGCACCUUCGGUGUCCGAGUUGUAAUCUCUAGAAAUGUUUUCCGCGUUGGACCGCACACAAGUCUGUUGGAAUACAGCGGCAUAGUGGUGAGACCCCCGUAUAUGGUGCGGACGCCCAGCGCUUUGUGAUACAUUUUCGAAGAGUCGAGUUGUUUGGGAAUGCAGCUCAAAUUGGGUGGUAAAUUCCAUCUAAAGCUAAAUAUUGGCGAGAGACCGAUAGCGAACAAGUACCGUGAGGGAAAGAUGAAAAGCACUUUGGAAAGAGAGUUAACAGUACGUGAAAUUGUUGGAAGGGAAACGCUUGAAGUCAGACUUGCUUGCCGAGCAAUCGGUUUGCAGGCCAGCAUCAGUUUUCCGGGAUGGAUAAUGGUAGAGAGAAGGUAGCAGUUUCGGCUGUGUUAUAGCUCUCUGCUGGAUACAUCUUGGGGGACUGAGGAACGCAGUGUGCCUUUUGGCGGGGGUUUCGACCUCUCACACUUAGGA